AACGAACGCUGGCGGCAUGCCUAACACAUGCAAGUCGAACGAAGGCUUCGGCCUUAGUGGCGCACGGGUGCGUAACGCGUGGGAACCUGCCCCUCGGUUCGGAAUAACAGUUAGAAAUGACUGCUAAUACCGGAUGAUGACUUCGGUCCAAAGAUUUAUCGCCGAGGGAUGGGCCCGCGUAGGAUUAGCUAGUUGGUGGGGUAAAGGCCUACCAAGGCGACGAUCCUUAGCUGGUCUGAGAGGAUGAUCAGCCACACUGGGACUGAGACACGGCCCAGACUCCUACGGGAGGCAGCAGUGGGGAAUAUUGGACAAUGGGCGAAAGCCUGAUCCAGCAAUGCCGCGUGAGUGAUGAAGGCCUUAGGGUUGUAAAGCUCUUUUACCAGGGAUGAUAAUGACAGUACCUGGAGAAUAAGCUCCGGCUAACUCCGUGCCAGCAGCCGCGG
This 446-nucleotide ribosomal RNA is filed under the name uncultured bacterium. RNAcentral describes it as "bacterial SSU rRNA". It matches the Rfam family "Bacterial small subunit ribosomal RNA", at positions 29 to 520 of the family's 1533-position model. The record is from RNAcentral.